RNAcentral lists this ribosomal RNA (497 nucleotides) under uncultured bacterium. Its description in RNAcentral is "partial 16S ribosomal RNA". It matches the Rfam family "Bacterial small subunit ribosomal RNA", at positions 28 to 507 of the family's 1533-position model. The record is from RNAcentral.
GAUGAACGCUGGCGGCGUGCCUAAUACAUGCAAGUCGAGCGAACAGACGACGUGCUUGCUCCUCUGACGUUAGCGGCGGACGGGUGAGUAAAACGUGGAUAACCUACCUAUAAGACUGGGAUAACUUCGGGAAACCGGUGCUAAUACCGGAUAAUAUAUUCAACCGCAUGGUUCAAUAGUUUAAGACGGUUUUGCUGUAACUUAUAGAUGGAUCCGGGCGGCAUUAGUUGGUUGGUAGGGUAACGGCUUACCAGGGCGACGGUGCGUAGCCGACCUGAGAGGGUGAACGCCCCCACUGGAACUGAGACACGGUCCAGGCUCCUAGGGGAGGCACCAGUAGGGAAGGGACGGAGAUGGGCGGAAGCCUGACGGAGCGGCGGCGCGUGAGUGCUGAAAGGCUGCGGAUCGUAAGACUCUGUUAUUGGGGAAGAACGAUUGUGUAAGUAACUAUGCACGUCUUGACGGUACCUGAUCAGGAAGCCACGGCUAACUACGUG